Molecule: ribosomal RNA, 481 nt
Filed under: Alexandrovia onegensis
Lineage: Eukaryota; Metazoa; Annelida; Clitellata; Tubificida; Naididae
Description: partial 16S ribosomal RNA
Rfam family: Bacterial large subunit ribosomal RNA
Source: RNAcentral
UGCCGCUUGAAUUUAUUAUAAGCGGUAAAUCCUGCCCAGUGAGUCUCUUCAACGGCCGCGGUAUCCUAACCGUGCAAAGGUAGCAUAAUCAUUUGCCCAUUAAUUGUGGGCUAGAAUGAAAGGACAAACGAGGGCACAGCUGUCUCCUUUAGGUCAAUAAAACUUAAUCUCUAAGUGAAGAAGCUUAGAUACCUUCGCAGGACAAGAAGACCCUAUAGAGCUUUACCUACUUAAUGUAAACUAAUCAUUAUUCGGUUCGGUUGGGGCGACCAGGGAAUAUAAAACCUCCCUAAUUAUUUAGACCUACCAGUCAUUUAAAGAUCCUAUUUAAGAUCAAAGAAUUCAGCUACCUUAGGGAUAACAGGCUAAUUCUCCUAGAGAGCCCUUAUCGACAGGAGAGGUUGGCACCUCGAUGUUGGCUUAGGACUUCUACAUGACGCAGCAGUCAUGAAAAGAUGGUUUGUUCAACCAUUAAAUUCCU